GCUCCGGUGGUGUAGCCCGGUUUAGCAUAGCGGCCUUAGCAGCCGUUGAUCGCGGGUUCGAAAGCGGCCCAGGCCGCAGAAAGUCCCGCCCGGAGCACCA
This 100-nucleotide transfer RNA is filed under the name Candidatus Bathyarchaeota archaeon. Its description in RNAcentral is "tRNA-Leu". Lineage: Archaea; Thermoproteati; Candidatus Bathyarchaeota. The record is from RNAcentral.